GAUGAAGAACGCAGCGAAAUGCGAUAAGUAAUGUGAAUUGCAGAAUUCCGUGAAUCAUCGAAUCUUUGAACGCACAUUGCGCCCCCUGGUAUUCCGGGGGGCAUGCCUGUCCGAGCGUCAUUACAACCCUCAAGCUCAGCUUGGUGUUGGGCCCCGCCGCCCCGGCGGGCCCUAAAGUCAGUGGCGGUGCCGUCCGGCUCCGAGCGUAGUAAUUCUUCUCGCUCUGGAGGUCCGGUCGUGUGCUCGCCAGCAAACCCCAAUUUUUUUCAGGUUGACCUCGGAUCAGGUAGGGAUACCCGCUGAACUUAAGCAUAUCAAUAAGCGGAGGA
Molecule: unclassified non-coding RNA, 329 nt
Filed under: soil metagenome
Description: partial contains 5.8S ribosomal RNA, internal transcribed spacer 2, and large subunit ribosomal RNA
Rfam family: 5.8S ribosomal RNA (bases 1-120)
Source: RNAcentral